Long non-coding RNA from Sinocyclocheilus anshuiensis, 511 nucleotides. NCBI's taxonomy places the organism in Eukaryota, Metazoa, Chordata, Actinopteri, Cypriniformes, Cyprinidae. The record is from Ensembl.
AUUUAUAUUAAACGGAAAACAAGGUGAUUAAUUACUCUUCUACUUUGCAGUCAAACACGGUUCUCUUCAUCAAGAUUGUCAUCACUCUGAACACAACUCUCAAAAAUCUCAAUGCUGAAGUUUCACAGAUGAAGCAAACCAAGAUUAUGGUGUUUAAAACACUGGGCCAGUUUGUGGUUCUUGGUUGCUCCUGGAUUCUGGGUUUCUUCACUAAUGGCAGUAAGGUGCUGGAGAUCCUCUUCCUGAUCUUGAACUCCCAGCAGGGAACCUUCAUCUUCCUGAUCUACUGUGUCCUCAAUAAUGAGGUCAGGCAGCAGUACAGGAAGUUCUUCAGAUGUUUUUGCUGUGCCAAACAACACUGAGGACCACAGCAUCAUGUUCAGGAAGUAAUACAUUCUGCUCAAGUGUCAUUAAUAUACAGCUGAUUUUAUAUAACAGAAUCUAUGUUUUUACGAUAAAUGUUAUAGUCUCAGAUCCUUUCUACAAAUGAAAGAAAAACAUGUUAUCCGAG